This 253-nucleotide ribosomal RNA is filed under the name uncultured bacterium. RNAcentral's name for it is "partial 16S ribosomal RNA". It matches the Rfam family "Bacterial small subunit ribosomal RNA", at positions 524 to 776 of the family's 1533-position model. The record is from RNAcentral.
UACGAAGGGGGCUAGCGUUGUUCGGAAUCACUGGGCGUAAAGGGCGCGUAGGCGGCCGCUCAAGUCGGGGGUGAAAGCCUGUGGCUUAACCACAGAAUUGCCUUCGAUACUGUUUGGCUUGAGACCGGAAGAGGUGAGUGGAACUGCGAGUGUAGAGGUGAAAUUCGUAGAUAUUCGGAAGAACACCAGUGGCGAAGGCGGCUCACUGGCCCGGUACUGACGCUCAUGUGCGAAAGCGUGGGGAGCAAACAGG